CAAAUUAUAGCUUAUAUUAAAGCGUAUUAUUUACAUUAAUAUGAAAAUUUAUUAUUUAAUUUGA
Molecule: transfer RNA, 64 nt
Filed under: Atkinsoniella uniguttata
Lineage: Eukaryota; Metazoa; Arthropoda; Insecta; Hemiptera; Cicadellidae
Description: tRNA-Val
Source: RNAcentral